AUUUUUUUACUAACCCAAACGCUGCCGGUGAUAACUCUGAACACCUUAGAGAACUAUUGACAUCACAGCGUUGGGGCCAGCUUGGAUUUGGGUGCUGUCAUUUCCUAGCUAUGUGAUUCUGGCCAGGUGCCCUGAUCUCUCUAGAUACCAGGCUCCUCCUUAUGCAAAUGAUAACAGGAGAUGCCUCUGUGUAGGUUACCUGUGUGAACGGUUGAGUUCUUGGCACAGUGUUUGUGAGAUAAUAAGCCCCAGGGUUCCUGAUGUUGCUAAAACAAUGUCAAUUAUACCUAGUUUCUGAAGUAAGCUCCUGUGGCUUUGCUACAGCAGCUUUACAAAUAAACAUCCUGUUUAUAUAUCUUUUACUCAUAUUUUUAUCCAUCCAGAGUUUUUCUUAUGUAUGAGUUUUCUUCACUGAAUGAAGGAUACACAAUGUUCAUAUUUCCUUUCUGUGGCUGUAGUAGACACCAUGACCAAAGCAAGUCAGGUCUUCCAGCCAUGACCCAUGCCAGAAGCAUGAGAGACAGGCUGUGACACCUGCUGCAGAUGGAAGUAUGAAGGAAGCAGUGCUGGAGGGAGAAGUUUGACAUUUAACUCAGCUACAAGGAACUUGAGUGGCCUAUCAGUGGGAGUGCCUAUCACAACCUCUCUUUAAGUUCUCUCAGUACCAAGACGGCCUCCAGAUCCCUGUAGGAAUGACCCAACCAUAAAAAUGUACUCGUCUGGAAGCCAGAGUAUCAGCUUGCACCAGGUGAAGCAAAACCAGAACCUGCAAGCCUCAUGAACUUGGAAACCUACCAAAUCACUUCACUCGAUCAACCCAGUACUUGUAGGUGUCAAGAGUUCCAAUUAAGGGUCCAGCCCAACCACCAACCUGGCAGCAAGAAAGAAGGGUCCCUUGUAAGAAUGUACAGCUGGCCUGUCACAAGCAGAAUCAAUGCUCCUGACACUUGCCAAGCCCAGGACACUGGAUUAGAAUAGAGCCAAUGGAAAGAGACAUGUAUGAAAGUCAUGGAUGCUUCUUAAAAACUGUGACAUUUCAAGCACCCAAUAAACAUACAGUAAUGAAUCA
This 1069-nucleotide long non-coding RNA is filed under the name Mus spicilegus (steppe mouse). RNAcentral describes it as "lncRNA (ENSMSIG00000026958.1)". The record is from RNAcentral. Lineage: Eukaryota; Metazoa; Chordata; Mammalia; Rodentia; Muridae.